This 815-nucleotide ribosomal RNA is filed under the name uncultured bacterium. Its description in RNAcentral is "bacterial SSU rRNA". It matches the Rfam family "Bacterial small subunit ribosomal RNA", at positions 54 to 859 of the family's 1533-position model. The record is from RNAcentral.
CAUGCAAGUCGAGGGGAAACGACAUCGAAAGCUUGCUUUUGAUGGGCGUCGACCGGCGCACGGGUGAGUAACGCGUAUCCAACCUGCCCACCACUUGGGGAUAACCUUGCGAAAGUAAGACUAAUACCCAAUGACGUCUCUAGAAGACAUCUGAAGGAGAUUAAAGAUUUAUCGGUGAUGGAUGGGGAUGCGUCUGAUUAGCUUGUUGGCGGGGUAACGGCCCACCAAGGCGACGAUCAGUAGGGGUUCUGAGAGGAAGGUCCCCCACAUUGGAACUGAGACACGGUCCAAACUCCUACGGGAGGCAGCAGUGAGGAAUAUUGGUCAAUGGACGAGAGUCUGAACCAGCCAAGUAGCGUGCAGGAUGACGGCCCUAUGGGUUGUAAACUGCUUUUAUAAGGGAAUAAAGUGAGUCUCGUGAGACUUUUUGCAUGUACCUUAUGAAUAAGGACCGGUUAAUUCCGUGCCAGCAGCCGCGGUAAUACGGAAGGUCCGGGCGUUAUCCGGAUUUAUUGGGUUUAAAGGGAGCGUAGGCCGGAGAUUAAGCGUGUUGUGAAAUGUAGACGCUCAACGUCUGCACUGCAGCGCGAACUGGUUUCCUUGAGUACGCACAAAGUGGGCGGAAUUCGUGGUGUAGCGGUGAAAUGCUUAGAUAUCACGAAGAACUCCGAUUGCGAAGGCAGCUCACUGGAGCGCAGCUGACGCUGAAGCUCGAAAGUGCGGGUAUCGAACAGGAUUAGAUACCCUGGUAGUCCGCACGGUAAACGAUGGAUGCCCGCUGUUGGUCUGAAUAGGUCAGCGGCCAAGCGAAAGCA